This 212-nucleotide long non-coding RNA is filed under the name Manihot esculenta (cassava). RNAcentral's name for it is "long non-coding RNA (MESC_LNC011773)". Lineage: Eukaryota; Viridiplantae; Streptophyta; Magnoliopsida; Malpighiales; Euphorbiaceae. The record is from RNAcentral.
ACCCAAUCACCAGGAACAAACACCACUUUCUUCCGUCUCCUAUUUGCCCUGUCAGCAUACACCUUGUUCCUCUUCUCGAUGUUAGACCUAGCCUUCUCAUGCAAGGACUUCACCAAUUCUGCCUUUUUAGUACCAUCUAAGCUAGCAAGCUCAUGUAAAGGUAAAGGAACAAGAUCAAGUACAGUUAGUGGGUUAAAACCAUAAACAAGCUC